CCAGUGAAUUUUUAACGGCCGCAGUAUCCUAACCGCGCGAAGGUAGCAUAAUCACUUGUUCUUUAAAUGAGGACUUGUAUCAACGGCAUCACGAGGGUUUUACUGUCUCCUCUUUCUGAUCAGUGAAAUUGAUCUUCCCGUGAAGAAGCGGGAAUAUAUAUAUAAGACGAGAAGACCCCAUGGAGCUUCAAACCUGGCAACAACUUAACCGUAAAAUCCCUAAUAGUUAUAAAGCAAUGCUGUAAGGUUUUGGGUUGGGGUGACCACGGAGUAAAACACAACCUCCACGACGAAAAGACCGCAAUCUUUAUUUAAGAACAACAAUUCUAGAAAUUAGCACACUAACGCUUUCUGAUCCGACAAUCGAUCAACGGACCAAGUUACCCUGGGGAUAACAGCGCAAUCUACUUCAAGAGCCCAUAUCGACAAGUAGGCUUACGACCUCGAUGUUGGAUCAGGAUAUCCCAGUGGUGCAGCCGCUACUAA
RNAcentral lists this ribosomal RNA (486 nucleotides) under Polypedates colletti (black-spotted tree frog). Its description in RNAcentral is "partial 16S ribosomal RNA". It matches the Rfam family "Bacterial large subunit ribosomal RNA", at positions 1863 to 2568 of the family's 2925-position model. Lineage: Eukaryota; Metazoa; Chordata; Amphibia; Anura; Rhacophoridae. The record is from RNAcentral.